Long non-coding RNA from Dasypus novemcinctus (nine-banded armadillo), 1021 nucleotides. The record is from Ensembl. Lineage: Eukaryota; Metazoa; Chordata; Mammalia; Cingulata; Dasypodidae.
GUAAAAUAAAUAAUGAAAGGAGGAGGGGGCCCAAGUUCUCGUGGCGUUUUAAACGUUCUGCCUUUUAGCUUUUAGCUGUAGGGUUAGUAAGCAGCAAUGUCAGACUAAACCCUGUGACUGAGACACAUCAAGGGGUAGAGUGAGGCUGGCGGUGGCGCGUUUGGUUGGCGGGGUACCUCACCUGGCCUCAGAGAAAUCCCGUCUUUGUUGCGGCCCCAGAGAAACUGGAUGGCAGGAGGUGCUUGCACUUCCCAGAUACUGUGCAGAUGACAAAGUCAGACCUGAGCCUCCCUGGAAGGCACCGCUGGACUCUUUGAGGGCAAAGGGCAAAGCUAUGCGAACGCACCUGCCACUGCCUGCCCUCGGUCCCCAUAUGAUCCAGGCAGAGCCAUCGAAGCACAUCGUUGAAAGUCACUGGUGGUUCUCGCAUCAGUGCCAAACUGUACUGUGUUGAGAAUGGAGGUGUAUGGAAAAAGCGUGCCAGAUGUAUACUGUGGACCAUGACUGGUGGUAAUAGUCUGAUGGUAUUAUCUCAUAAGCUGUAACAAAUGUCCCACCAGGGUGUGCAAUUGUAUGGGAAAUUUACACAUCGGUAUGAUUGUUUUGCAAGUUGACAAUAUCUGUAACAAAAAUAUAUUUUUAAAAAAUGGUAUGGGUUGGGGAAAAAAUACAGCAAAUGUAAGAUAAGGACUACGGUUGGUAGUAAUAUUUUGAUGGCGCACUUGCAUGGUUUGUAACAAAUGUUUCACACCAAUGCCAAGAGUUGGUGGAGGGGUGAUGUGUGAGACCCCUGGGUGAUGUUAUGUAUGUUUAUUUUGUAAGUUUGCAAUCUUUACUAUACACUUAUUGUUUAUGUGUGUUCAUGUAUGAAUGAUAUACUCCAAUAAAAAUUCUUAAAAAAGUCACUGGUGGUGGAGCAAGGGAGGCAAACUCCUAGAAGAAGGAUGUGGUUUGCAACCGGCCCUCCAGCCUUUUUAUCAUCUUCUGCUCAGAAGUCUCCACUCCUUUCCCGUGGCGCCAC